Ictidomys tridecemlineatus (thirteen-lined ground squirrel) is the source of this 69-nucleotide non-coding RNA. Lineage: Eukaryota; Metazoa; Chordata; Mammalia; Rodentia; Sciuridae. The record is from Rfam.
GGAGUUGUGGCUCAGUGGUAGAGCACUCAUCUAGCACAUGUAAGGCCCUGAGUUCGAUCCUCAGCACCA